GUCUACGGCCAUACCACCCUGAACGCGCCCGAUCUCGUCUGAUCUCGGAAGCUAAGCAGGGUCAGGGCUGGUUAGUACUUGGAUGGGAGGAAGUAGGAAAGAAGGUGAUCAUUUGAG
Mustela putorius furo (domestic ferret) is the source of this 117-nucleotide non-coding RNA. NCBI's taxonomy places the organism in Eukaryota, Metazoa, Chordata, Mammalia, Carnivora, Mustelidae. The record is from Rfam.